This 1036-nucleotide ribosomal RNA is filed under the name Fusarium langsethiae. RNAcentral's name for it is "eukaryotic LSU rRNA". The stretch from base 449 to 1036 matches the Rfam family "Eukaryotic large subunit ribosomal RNA", at positions 1 to 600 of the family's 3401-position model. The record is from RNAcentral. Lineage: Eukaryota; Fungi; Ascomycota; Sordariomycetes; Hypocreales; Nectriaceae.
ACUCCCAAACCCCUGUGAACAUACCUUUAUGUUGCCUCGGCGGAUCAGCCCGCGCCCCGUAAAACGGGACGGCCCGCCGCAGGAAACCCUAAACUCUGUUUUUAGUGGAACUUCUGAGUAUAAAAAACAAAUAAAUCAAAACUUUCAACAACGGAUCUCUUGGUUCUGGCAUCGAUGAAGAACGCAGCAAAAUGCGAUAAGUAAUGUGAAUUGCAGAAUUCAGUGAAUCAUCGAAUCUUUGAACGCACAUUGCGCCCGCCAGUAUUCUGGCGGGCAUGCCUGUUCGAGCGUCAUUUCAACCCUCAAGCCCAGCUUGGUGUUGGGAUCUGUCCUUACCGACAGUCCCCAAAUUGAUUGGCGGUCACGUCGAGCUUCCAUAGCGUAGUAAUUUACACAUCGUUACUGGUAAUCGUCGCGGCCACGCCGUUAAACCCCAACUUCUGAAUGUUGACCUCGGAUCAGGUAGGAAUACCCGCUGAACUUAAGCAUAUCAAUAAGCGGAGGAAAAGAAACCAACAGGGAUUGCCCUAGUAACGGCGAGUGAAGCGGCAACAGCUCAAAUUUGAAAUCUGGCUCUCGGGCCCGAGUUGUAAUUUGUAGAGGAUGACUUUGAUGCGGUGCCUUCCGAGUUCCCUGGAACGGGACGCCAUAGAGGGUGAGAGCCCCGUCUGGUUGGAUGCCAAAUCUCUGUAAGUCUCCUUCGACGAGUCGAGUAGUUUGGGAAUGCUGCUCUAAAUGGGAGGUAUAUGUCUUCUAAAGCUAAAUACCGGCCAGAGACCGAUAGCGCACAAGUAGAGUGAUCGAAAGAUGAAAAGCACUUUGAAAAGAGAGUUAAAAAGUACGUGAAAUUGUUGAAAGGGAAGCGUUUAUGACCAGACUUGGGCUUGGUUAAUCAUCUGGGGUUCUCCCCAGUGCACUUUUCCAGUCCAGGCCAGCAUCAGUUUUCGCCGGGGGAUAAAGACUUCGGGAAUGUGGCUCCCCUCGGGGAGUGUUAUAGCCCGUUGUGUAAUACCCUGGCGGGGACUGAGGUUCGCGC